RNAcentral lists this ribosomal RNA (251 nucleotides) under uncultured prokaryote. RNAcentral's name for it is "partial 16S rRNA". It matches the Rfam family "Bacterial small subunit ribosomal RNA", at positions 525 to 775 of the family's 1533-position model. The record is from RNAcentral.
ACGGAGGGUGCAAGCGUUACUCGGAAUAACUGGGAGUAAAGAGCGUGUAGGCGGGCAUAUAAGUCAGACAUUAAAUCCAAUAGCUUUACUAUUGAACUGCUUUUGAAACUGUAUACCUAGAAUGUGGGAGAGGUAGAUGGAAUUUCUGGUGUAGGGGUAAAAUCCGUAGAGAUCAGAAGGAAUACCGAUUGCGAAGGCGAUCUACUGGAACAUUAUUUACGCUGAGACGCGAAAGCGUGGGGAGCAAACAG